Molecule: non-coding RNA, 100 nt
Organism: Truncatella angustata
Lineage: Eukaryota; Fungi; Ascomycota; Sordariomycetes; Amphisphaeriales; Sporocadaceae
Source: the annotation of a RefSeq genome assembly
UGCCCUAUGGCGCAAUUGGCAGCGCGUCAGACUGUUAUUCAUGGAUUCCUUGGGUAAUCAGAUCAUCUGGAGGCUCUGAGUUCGACCCUCAGUGGGGCAG